UGUGGGGCUACAGUAACAUGUAUGCAAUGC
This 30-nucleotide non-coding RNA is filed under the name Mus musculus (house mouse). Lineage: Eukaryota; Metazoa; Chordata; Mammalia; Rodentia; Muridae. The record is from RNAcentral.